AGUUCUGCAUGCUGUGCAGCCAAAAACAAACAAAACAACAAACUAUAAAACUCUUAGAAGGACUUCUGACUCGCUGUGUCCACGAACAAUAUGUCGGACCCACGGAGGCCCAACAAAGUGCUGAGGUACAAGCCCCCACCGAGCCAGUAUAACCCAGUGCUGGAUGAUCCCACACCAGACUACAUGAACCUGCUGGGCAUGAUCUUCAGCAUGUGCCGCCUCAUGCUUAAGCUGAAGUGGUGCGCUUGGGUCGCUGUCUACUGCUCCUUCAUCAGCUCUGCCAACUCCCAGAGCUCUGAGGACACGAAGCAGAUGAUGAGGAGCUUCAUGCUGUCCAUCUCUGCUGUGGUGACGUCAUAUCUGCAGAACCCUCAGCCCAUGACGCCCCCCUGGUGAUAUCAGCCUAGAAGGGACACAUCCUGGACCUCUCUAUCCACCUUGCCCUAGGCCUCACCCGUGGCUGUUCAGGCUCCUACCAUCAGCUGCGGUGCUGGGCUUCCCUGGGCGAUGCAGUCUCUGGGCCUGCAGCUGGACGGAGGGAACCUGGCCCUGACCCUGAGAUCCCACAGCUGCUGGAGCCCAGAGGGGAAAUCCCCUGGGACUACCCUCCUCACCCCCACCUUCUUUUCCUACCCUGCCUGCUCCUGGUGGAGACGCUGUCCAUGUUUCUAUGUGUAUCCACUCAUUUUCUUGUUGAAACCCGUUAAUAAAGUUUUUUGUUCUGGAUGU
Molecule: non-coding RNA, 729 nt
Organism: Odocoileus virginianus texanus
Lineage: Eukaryota; Metazoa; Chordata; Mammalia; Artiodactyla; Cervidae
Source: RefSeq, a predicted model, not a curated record